RNAcentral lists this ribosomal RNA (3019 nucleotides) under PVC group bacterium (ex Bugula neritina AB1). Its description in RNAcentral is "bacterial LSU rRNA". It matches the Rfam family "Bacterial large subunit ribosomal RNA". Lineage: Bacteria; Pseudomonadati. The record is from RNAcentral.
AGGUCAAGCUACUAAUGUUUAUGGUGGAUGUCUUGGCACUAGGAGGCGACGAAGGACGUGAUAAGCUGCGAUAAGCUUCGGGAAGUUGCAAAUAAACUUUGAUCCGGAGAUUUCCGAAUGGGGGAACCUUUUUGGAGUAAUGUCCAAAAACAGUAAGCUGAAUACAUAGGCUUAUGUGAGCCAACCAGGAGAAGUGAAACAUCUCAGUACCCUGAGGAAAAGAAAAUAAUUCAAUGAUUCCCUAAGUAGCGGCGAGCGAAAGGGGAUGAGCCUAAACUAUGCAUGUGUUAAAGCCUGUAAGCGUUGCAUGUGUGGGGUCGUGAGAUCAAAAUCGAUGCUUUUACAGAAGUGUCAGUCUGUCAAAAAACUUUGUUAUAGUUGAAUUUUCUGGAAAGUUAAACCAUAGAAGGUGAUAGUCCUGUAAGCGAAAUGACAAAGUCAGACCUUUUUGAUUCUCGAGUACUGCGGAGCACGUGAAAUUCUGUAGGAAUCUGCCACAACCACGUGGUAAGGCUAAAUACUACCUAGUGACCGAUAGUGAACAAGUAAAGUGAUUGAAAGAUGAAAAGUACGCCUGUAAGGUGAGUGAAAUAGUACCUGAAACCGUAAACAAACAAGCAGUAGGAGGGCUAUAUCUAUGUAAAUAGAGAUGCCUGACUGCCUGCCUUUUGCUUAAUGAGCCUGCGAGUUACUGUAUGUUGCAAGGUUAAGUGUCUCUGAUACGGAGCCGUAGCGAAAGCGAGUGUGAAAGUGCGACAUAGUAAUAUGCAGUAGACCCGAAGCCAAGUGAUCUAUCCAUGGCCAGGAUGAAGCACAUGUAAAAAUGUGUGGAGGUCCGAACUAGUUGAGGUUGAAAACUCUUUAGAUGAGCUGUGGAUAGGGGCGAAAGACCAAUCAAACUUGGUGAUAGCUGGUUCUCUCCGAAAUAGUUUUAGGACUAGCCUUAAGUAAUUAGUGCACAGGGGUAAAGUACUGAAUGGACUAGGGGCCCUACCAGGUUACCGAAUCCAAUCAAACUCUGAAUACUGUGUACCGUAUCUUAGGAGUCAGACUACGGGGGCUAAGCUCCGUGGUCGAAAGGGAAACAGCCCAGACCGUCAACUAAGGUCCCAAAGUAUAUGUUAAGUGGUUAAGGUUGUGAAGUUGCAUAGACAGCCAGGAUGUUGGCUUAGAAGCAGCCAUCAUUUAAAGAGUGCGUAAUAGCUCACUGGUCGAGUGAUUUUGCGCCGAAAAUGUCCGGGGCUAAACAUAUCACCGAAGUUACGGAUUAUGUGUUUUUUACACAUAGUGGUAGGAGAGCGUUCUUUGUUGGCUGAAGCUAUACCGUGAGGAGUAGUGGACGACAAAGAAGUGAUUAUGCAGGCAUGAGUAGCUAGAACACAGGUGAGAAUCCUGUGCGCCGAAAGUCCAAGGGUUCCUAGGGAAGGUUUAUCCUCCUAGGGUUAGUCGGUCCUAAGCCGAGGCCGAAAGGCGUAGGCGAUGGAUAACAGGUUAAUAUUCCUGUACUGCUUUAAAGCGUUUGAGUGAUGGAGUGACACAGAAGGCUAAACAAGCCUCCGAUCGGAAGUGGAGGUAUAAGCUCGUAGGGAGAGUUUCUAGGCAAAUCCGGAAACUUGUUAAUCCUGAGAAGUUAUGUGGAGUUCGAUCCUUAGGGAGAGAACGAAGUUGUUGACGCCAUGCUGGCAAGAAAACCUUCUAGCGAGUUUUGAAGCAUCCGUACCCGAAACCGACACAGGUGGACGGGGAGAGAAUCCUAAGGCGUCCGAGAGAAUGCUCGUUAAGGAACUCGGCAAAAUGGCCCCGUAACUUCGGGAGAAGGGGUCCCUUUUUUUGUGAAAAGCCUUGCGCUUGGAGCGAAGAGAGGGCGCAGAAAUCGGCCCAAGCGACUGUUUAUCAAAAACAUAGGUCUCUGCUAAAUUGUUAAGAUGAUGUAUAGGGACUGACACCUGCCCGGUGCUGGAAGGUUAAGAGGGUGAGUUAGCUUCGGCGAAGCUCAGAAUUGAAGCCCCAGUAAACGGCGGCCGUAACUAUAACGGUCCUAAGGUAGCGAAAUUCCUUGUCGGGUAAGUUCCGACCUGCACGAAUGGUGUAACGAUUUGGGCACUGUCUCAACGAGUAUCUCGGUGAAAUUGCAGAAUUGGUGAAGAUGCCAAUUACCUACGAAAAGACGGAAAGACCCCGUGAACCUUUACUAUAACCUGAUAUUGGUAUUUGAUAUAACAUGUGUAGGAUAGGUGGGAGACUUUGAAGUUGGAGCGCUAGCUUCGAUGGAGUCAUCCUUGAAAUACCACCCUUGUUAUGUUAGGUCUCUAACCAUGGACCGUAAUCCGGUUCUGGAACAGUGUCAGGCGGGUAGUUUAACUGGGGCGGUUUCCUCCUAAAGAGUAACGGAGGAGCGCGAAGGUCCUCUCAAUGCGGUUGGCUAUCGCAUGUUGAGUGUAAACGCAAAAGAGGGCUUAACUGCGAGACAGACGAGUCGAGCAGAUAGGAAACUAGGUGUUAGUGAUCCGGUGGUUGCUUGUGGAAGUGCCAUCGCUCAACGGAUAAAAGGUACUCCGGGGAUAACAGGCUUAUCCUCCCCAAGAGUUCAUAUCGACGGGAGGGUUUGGCACCUCGAUGUCGGCUUGUCGCAUCCUGGGGCUGAAGAAGGUCCCAAGGGUUUGGCUGUUCGCCAAUUAAAGCGGCACACGAGCUGGGUUCAGAACGUCGUGAGACAGUUCGGUCCCUAUCUUUCGUAGGCGUAGGAAAUUUGAGAGGAGCUGUUCUUAGUACGAGAGGACCAGAAUGGACGAACCUCUGGUGUACCAGUUGUUUUGCCAAGAGCAUCGCUGGGUAGCCAAGUUCGGAAGGGAUAAGCGCUGAAAGCAUAUAAGCGCCAAGCCCACCUCAAGAUUAGAUUUCCCUUCGUCAUAAGACGACCUAAGACACCUUAGAGAGAAUGAGGUUGAUAGGCUAGAUGUGUAAGUAUAGUGAUAUAUUUAGCUUACUAGUACUAAUAUGUCGGGAGGCUUGAUCUUAU